AUGUUCGAAAACCUUUUGUUCAAAAAUAUCCAAAUCAAAAACAGAAACAAGAAGUUAAAGAGCAUUCAGUCACUAUGGAAAAGAAAACAACCUUCUAAAGUAAAAAAGAAGAACACGGUGGAAGUGAAGAGUUUUCCGGAGAGACAAAGUGGGUUCCAGUGCGGUUUGGGAGGAUUAUGUUCAGUGUUGUUCUGGCGAGAGGGAGGUGGUCUGAGAUUUGUUUUCGGUUCAAGCAAGAACAAGAGUUGUAGGUCGAUUUCCGAUGGUGAUUCUGGAGACGAUAAAGGUUUUUCAACGAAGGAGCGAAUCUCCAGCAGUUGGAUUGCAGCUCUGACGAUUUCGGUUUUCAGGUGA
Non-coding RNA from Vicia faba (fava bean), 354 nucleotides. Lineage: Eukaryota; Viridiplantae; Streptophyta; Magnoliopsida; Fabales; Fabaceae. The record is from the annotation of a GenBank genome assembly.